RNAcentral lists this ribosomal RNA (301 nucleotides) under uncultured bacterium. RNAcentral describes it as "partial 16S ribosomal RNA". It matches the Rfam family "Bacterial small subunit ribosomal RNA", at positions 509 to 808 of the family's 1533-position model. The record is from RNAcentral.
CAGUAGCCGCGGGUAAUACGGAGGGUGCAAGCGUUAAUCGGAAUUACUGGGCGUAAAGCGCACGCAGGCGGUCUGACAAGUCAGAUGUGAAAUCCCCGGGCUUAACCUGGGAACUGCAUUUGAAACUGUCAGGCUGGAGUCUUGUAGAGGGGGGUAGAAUUCCAGGUGUAGCGGUGAAAUGCGUAGAGAUCUGGAGGAAUACCGGUGGCGAAGGCGGCCCCCUGGACAAAGACUGACGCUCAGGUGCGAAAGCGUGGGGAGCAAACAGGAUUAGAUACCCCGGUAGUCCCUGUCUCUUAUA